This is an RNA transcript of Lutra lutra (Eurasian river otter), 5265 nucleotides long. It is a transcript of the gene named copper metabolism domain containing 1, with no coding region annotated. Lineage: Eukaryota; Metazoa; Chordata; Mammalia; Carnivora; Mustelidae. The record is from RefSeq and is a predicted model, not a curated record. The transcript has 5 exons.
CGCUCAGCUGUUGUGGGGCGGGGCUGCUGCUGACCAUGGCUGGCGAGCUUGAGAACUCCAAAGCUCUGAGUGGGUUGCUGAACGGCCUGGCCCAGGAAGCUUUCUAUGGGCACCAAGGCAUCACGGAAGAGCUGCUGCGGAGCCAGCUCUAUCCCGAGGUGUCACUCGAGGAGUUCCGCCCCUUUCUGGCGAAGAUGAGGGGGAUUCUUAAGUCUAUUGCAUCUGCAGACAUGGAUUUCAACCAGCUGGAGGCAUUCUUGACUGCUCAAACCAAAAAACAAGGUGGGAUCUCAUCUGACCAAGCCGCUGUCAUUUCCAAAUUCUGGAAGAGCCACAAGAUAAAAAUUCGAGAGAGUCUCAUGAACCAGAGCCGUUGGGACAGUGGGCUUCGGGGCCUGAGUUGGAGAGUUGACGGCAAAUCACAGUCAAGGCAUUCAGCUCAGAUACAUACCCCUGUUGCCAUAAUGGAGCUGGAAAUAGGGAAAAGUGGACAGGAGAUUGUGGGAAUAUGGAUAAGCACUUCCUUUAGAAGCUGCCCUGGCAUGGAAAGCACCUGGAAUCUGAAUUUCUAUGUUUGGAAUUUGAUGAAGUCAAGGUCAAUCAACUCCUAAAGAAGCUCUCAGAGGUAGAAGAAAGUAUCAGCACACUGAUGCAGCCAGCCUAGCUGAAGAUGGAGUUGUUGAAGCAAAGGCAUUUAUGGCUCUGUAUAUUUUUUGCAACUCCAUGUGAAUCAAGUAUUACUUCAAAAUAAAAAUUUUAAGAAAAAGUAUGUACUUCUGCUCUGCCAAGGGAGCUGUGUGGGCGAUGACUUGGCCAUUGUAUCUAUCCUCAAGGAGGUUAGUCUAGUGGAGCAAACUAUCAACAGAAUGAUCUGGAAGGUGGGGAGAUGCUGCUUGCUGCAGAGAUGAGAGAAGACACUGAAGAAUAUCCAGGAAAACCCUCACAAAGGUACAAUUGAGGGCUUGUAUGUAAAUGAAGAGCUAUGCUUCUACCACGGGAAUUCCAUUCUUAGGCCAAUCCCUGACAAGGUUGUCACUUCUGUCUUCUCAGAUCUUCAGGGACCACAGCUGAAGCCAUUUGGGACAGGGAUGGAUGCACACCCUGAUUAAGGCUAAUAUUCCUAGCUGACAGCUUUUCUCUGCAGCUCAGAAUUCUUAGAGAUACCCUAUCUCCUACCAAGUCAUUCAAAAUGUUCAAAAUGUAGCUACUGACUUCCUUUAUAAAAGAUAGGAAGAAUGGUGUUAAAACAGGAAGGGAAGCCUAGAACAUUUGUUGGGGUUACUAAUAAUGAAAACAUUUAAAAGAGUUCCCAUAUACCUUUAACAAACCUCCUCAACUCUACUGAACAUUAACACUUUGCUUUGGGGUUCUAACACUCGUUUAAUGUUUAUUUUAAAUCUUUUUAAUUGGACAACACAUUCUUUUAGUUUAUAAAGAGAAAUAGUACAAAGAGGUACACAGAUGGAAAAUCUUGUUCUUGCAUCUACCCUUUCUUUAUUUCUUUCCUUUUCUUUUUUCUAUUUUUGAAGAUCUAAUUGACUUUAUUAAGUGAAUCAUGAAUUGGGCAGCAUCCCAUCUAGCCAGUAGACGGAGCCCACCUCCUCUGCCCUUUCCAGCCCACAAACACUUACAGGGGACCAUCUGUGUUUUUCUUUAUGCAAACAUAAAUAAAAUAUUUUCAUACCUCUACUUUUCUCCUUCUUCCUGCCCCCCCAAAACCAGCAUCCUAUGCAUACUCUUCUGGACUUUGCAUUUAUCAAUUAACAAUGUAGCUUAGAAAGAUUUCCAAAUCAGAACAUAGUAAUGCUUUAAAAAAAAAAGAAGAAGAAGAACUUCAGCCCCCUGCCCUCCAGUGUCACCUCAGACAUUGCUCAUGUUCCCUCUCUUUCCUGUCUAACCUCAAUUGUUUGAAUCCCAAAUUCCCCAAGCAUAGUAUGUUCUCUGUGCUAACAAGCUCAGGGCUUACAUAGACCCCAGGCUGUGUGACUGGAGCAAAGCCACAAACCCCCUGUGCCAUCAAGACCACAGGGACACAUUCAGGAGCAACAGCAACAAGGUGAUGAUUGCCUUAGCAUGAGCGACACCCCAAAGAGAUCACUCUGGGCCAAGGAGGAGAGAUGAUCUGGAGCCAGGCUUUGUUGCCAAGCAACCCCGGAGGGGAUGAAAUUAACUCAGUCUGUUUUUCAUGUAACUGCAUCUCAAAUGAAAGCUGAGGCCAGAGUUGAUCCCAUGCAAAAUUAAUAAUCACCACAUGAUUCUUUCUUUCAAGUGUCUGUUGCCGAAAGACAGGGAACUAAAGAAACCAGUAUACCCCUCUUUAAAGGGGUAAGGGGGGGAGGAAGAGAACAAAUACAUACAGAUCCCAUGUUUUUCCAUUUGAGUCUUAGGUAGGAAAUCAAGCCUUUCUCUCUUAGACUGCUGUUGACUCUCCCUGGUAGGAAACCUGCUUUAAAACCAGAUCCUAAGUAGACGAGAUAAUACAUACCAAAGAGCCAAGGGAGGAUAUUUUUCCUAGAAGUGAGAGAAAGCUUGGAUCACAUGAGACCCUUUUAGUCUCCUUUUUUAGAAAAUUUAAAAUGCACUUUUCCCCAUUAGUAUGUUCAGGGAAGAUAAAUUAUCAUAAAAAUAAAAAUAGCCCUUCCACCUACUCUCCUUAAUCCAGCACUAAUGGCUGAAAGAGGAGCCCAGCUUGAUAUGCUCACUAACUCUUUCUCUUCAAGGGCUUAUCAAAUUUAAAAGGCAAAAAUGACAAAGAAGAGUGGAUUCCCCCAUCCGCUGCCCCCUACUUCUGCUGCAUUAAUUUGGGUAAAUUACCUGUGUGGUCAGGGAGGAGCAGUGGCCUUCUCCCCAAAAGAAUCUUUGAUUAUUAUUUUGUAGUUGUGCCAUAAAAUGUAACUAAAAAUAAAGCUUUUUUUAGCCAAAGAAACUAGUUUUAUCUGAGAAGGAAAGCUUUCUUGCCCAGCAGAAGGUGAGACUUUGUGGUGGGCAAAGUAGCGACCAGUGGUCUUCCUCACUUAGCACUUAUGGGAUGUAUUUGCUGGUGUUGGGACAGGAUAUUCCCUUGUUCCCUUCUGCCACUCCACCAUGUUCACCGUAUACUAGGCCAGUUUGAGCAAGCCUCCUCCUCUGUGAAGCAAUGAGUACCCACGGACAGAGUGGGGCAGAAUGUGCUGGUACACAGAGAAAAACAGAGAGCGAAAUGUACACAAUGGAUUUUUGGAAACUCUGUCAGUGAGGGUCUCAGCAGGAAACAGAUGCUAUAUUCACAUUGGAUGCUUUGAGUAGCUUUUAAUAAAGGGGUUUUUUAGAAUGGUUGGUGGGGAAACCACAAAGGACAGGUAUUACCUGGGGCUGAUCACUCUGGGUUGGGAGUCACUCCCAUGCCUCAGCCUGCAGAGUGAGAGAAUUGGCAGGCAGAGGGAUGGGAUAGAGCAGGCCACCUUACACAGUGUAGCUGUCAAUCGGGGGAAGGAGAGCCCUACAUCAUUUGCCUCCUUCCCUCUGAUUUCUGGCAAGGGCUCACCAUAUGCUGAAACCCACUGGAAGUCAGAGGAUCAAGAAAUCCUUGAAUGUAGAAAUGUAACACACAGAAAACAGGAAAUGCUAAACCUAGCUUCAUCUGCCUGGCUUCUGGUCUAUUCAUUCAUUCAACCAGCACUUACCGAUCACCAGCUCUGUGCAGGCACCCAACUAGGAGACGCAACAGUAAGCAAGGCAGCCCUCAUGGAGCAGACAGUCCCUCUGGCCACGUCAGGCCUAGGCAAAGCUGCAAAGUACAUCCAGACUGAACAUUCAAGAUCACAAGCCCUCCAACGUGUACCAUGGUUAUUGCCUGACUUUUCUUAUCCCGCUUCCCUCUUGGUCAGGAAUAAAGAUUUUCUUGUUCUAUGUGUUAAUUCCAAUUUCAAUAAAUCAAGAGGGGCACCUGGCUGGCUCUGUUGGUGGAGCAUGCAACUCUUGAUCUCAGGGUUGUAAGUUCGAAUCCCAUGGGGUGUAGAGAUUACUAAAAAAUAAAAUCAUAAAUAAAUAAAUAAAAUGUCAAACAAGCAAAAAAAGAAAAGAAAAAAGAUUCUCUUGUUACCAUAACUACUGGUAGCAUGUCUGAGUAGGUUCGUGUUAAGGCAUGGGUGUUAGAAGGGCACUUACAGAGGAAUCCAGAAGAAGGAAGAUAGCUGGGCCCGAAGCAAGACAGGAACAGAGGUAAAGUCAGGUCACAGGAGUUUCUCUGUAGGGCAUGGCCUUCAAGCAUCCAGCUCCUACCCAUGUCUGCCCUCUGUCUCCUCCAUGUGCACCCAGAUCCUAGCUCUUCUUCCUGUAGGUUUGGCUCAGCCCAUCUUUCUAUGCUGGCCCACUGAGGCACUGCCUAGCCUAUGCAGGUGGCCCUUGGCCUAACCCCCUGUCUCCAGCCCAAUAGUGGCCAUUCCUGGGUUAGAACAGCUUGGUGUUAUCUCUGAGCAGAGCGCUCGGGGCGGGGGGGGGGCGGCGGAAUCUCCCCUCUUUAGGAGACCCUGGCUAUUGGCAGAGCCCCUGGCUGACAUUCCCAGGGCCCCCACUACUAGAUGGUAAACUCUUAAAGGUCAAGGAUCUGAGUCUUACAUUGGUUUUCCAGUAGCACAUGGCAUUGUUUCUUUUAAGUCAGUCACUCAGUCACUAUUUACAGAGUAGACUGGGCAUAAUAACCCCUAAGUUGCAACUAGCUACCUCAACUACAUCUGUUCUUGGGAAUCUUAAAGCACAAAGCCAUUUGACAUUUGUUGAGAAGGACUUUGUUGAUCCAUAGGCAGCAAAGCCAACCUGUGCUGGGCUGAUGAAUAGACACACUGGCAAAGUGUGCAUCCUGUUGGGGACAAUGGCUCCCUUUUUCCUGAAAUGCCUCCCAGCUGUGUGUGGCCAAGCCAGGGCUAGGCUCAGUUCCUUGUACUAAGAAAUCUCUUAGUGUAGCCUGAGAGCAAGUGAGGGCACUGCCUUCCUGCUGUGGUAACUCUCUUAUUCCAUUUCAGUGAUAUGAGCUUACUGACCUUGUACAGAGAGACUGACGCCAUCACCUCUUCCCAGAACAAAGCUAGCCCUUCUGAUGGCGAGCAUCGUACUCCAUGCUGUGUAUCAGAGAGUUUUCCUUCCUGAUUGAUUUGAGGGAUAGGAUUCCUUUGGCUGAUAAUUGGCAGUAUGAGCUAGAGUCAGAUUGCUAGUAGAAAUGUUUAUGAGGGGCGCUUGGGUGGCUCAGUUGUUUAAGCAUCUUCCUUAGGCUCAGGUCAUGAUCCCAGG